CCGCUUGUUAACUCCAUUGCUUCCUUUCAG
RNAcentral lists this non-coding RNA (30 nucleotides) under Cricetulus griseus (Chinese hamster). The record is from RNAcentral. Lineage: Eukaryota; Metazoa; Chordata; Mammalia; Rodentia; Cricetidae.